RNAcentral lists this ribosomal RNA (425 nucleotides) under uncultured bacterium. Its description in RNAcentral is "bacterial SSU rRNA". It matches the Rfam family "Bacterial small subunit ribosomal RNA", at positions 356 to 773 of the family's 1533-position model. The record is from RNAcentral.
GGGGAAUUUUGCGCAAUGGACGAGAGUCUGACGCAGCAACGCCGCGUGGGUGAUGAAGGUCUUCGGACUGUAAAACCCUGUCGUCAGGGACGAAAGUAGCAGCGUUAAUAGCGUUGUUGCUUGACGGUACCUGGAGAGGAAGCCCCGGCUAACUCUGUGCCAGCAGCCGCGGUAAUACAGAGGGGGCAAGCGUUAUUCGGAAUUAUUGGGCGUAAAGGGCGCGUAGGCGGUUUUUUAAGUCAGAUGUGUAAUCCCCGGGCUCAACCUGGGAACUGCAUCUGAGACUGGAAGGCUAGAGUACUGGAGAGGGUGGUGGAAUUCCUCGUGUAGCGGUGAAAUGCGUAGAGAUGAGGAGGAACACCAGUGGCGAAGGCGGCCACCUGGACAGUAACUGACGCUGAGGCGCGAAAGUGUGGGUAGCAAAC